This 62-nucleotide transfer RNA is filed under the name Ictidomys tridecemlineatus (thirteen-lined ground squirrel). RNAcentral's name for it is "Spermophilus tridecemlineatus (thirteen-lined ground squirrel) tRNA". It matches the Rfam family "tRNA". Rfam says of the family: Transfer RNA (tRNA) molecules are approximately 80 nucleotides in length. Their secondary structure includes four short double-helical elements and three loops (D, anti-codon, and T loops). Further hydrogen bonds mediate the characteristic L-shaped molecular structure. tRNAs have two regions of fundamental functional importance: the anti-codon, which is responsible for specific mRNA codon recognition, and the 3' end, to which the tRNAs corresponding amino acid is attached (by aminoacyl-tRNA synthetases). tRNAs cope with the degeneracy of the genetic code in two manners: having more than one tRNA (with a specific anti-codon) for a particular amino acid; and 'wobble' base-pairing, i.e. permitting non-standard base-pairing at the 3rd anti-codon position. The record is from Rfam by way of RNAcentral. Lineage: Eukaryota; Metazoa; Chordata; Mammalia; Rodentia; Sciuridae.
GGGAUUGUGGCUCAGUGGCAGAGCACUCACCUUAUACGUAAGAGGCACUGAGUUCAUUCCUG